CCCAGGGAUGAAUAUGGGCCAUCCAAUCUAUAGAUUGAGCCGUGGAGAUGAAGCCAUACUGCCAGAUUUUGGCCGCCCAACACGCGAGCAGUAUAGAGUGUCCUGCGCCGUCCGGAACCAGCAGUAUAACCGGAUGAGGGUAUUUUAGGAAGAUCAUAUUUUGUCCCGCAAGGAAGACUCCAUCUCCUACCCCCGUUCGUUCAGUUUGCCCACCCAAAAAAAUCCCCUCACGUAUUCCGGCCGCCAUGGACCUGCACCCCUGUAGUCCCUCCUCUCUCUCCGGCUUGAGCAGCGACGGAGACGGGAACCACCCUUCCGAGCCAGGUUCCGGCCGCCGCCGCCGCUAACACGCAGCCCCCGUAUCCUCUCCUCCUCGGUCGAUUUGAAUGGCCCCUACGAACUAGGGUUCCGGCCAUCGCUGACGCCGACCACCGUGGCGCAGCUGGUCAAUCUCCGGCCAGGAUGAUCCGCGGCCAUGAAGGUUUCGGAGGGCCGCGGCCCAGCCGGUCAAGUACUAGGCCGAGGCAGACGCGGUGUCGCCGGCGGUUGCCGCCGACCGCGGCGACGAAGCUGCAGGCUGAACAACGACAACGGACUCCUCUGAACAGAAGUGUUUGACCGGUGUCAAUUGACACCGGCGCCUCUGGCAAAAUACCUCUGUAUACACAAGCCGGCGGCAAAAUAACACCAUCAAAAGAGCAAAAUGACACCGUCCCACAUAUGAUCCAUACUAUUAUAUAUGAAACAUGGCAAUUAGCCUGUACAUGAUUACUAGGGCCAUACCAGUAAAUUUAUCUCAAAAGAUCUUGAGAAUAUUGUUUCAUAGCAAGUGAAUAACAAUCUGGCUAAUUGGCAUACUUCAGAAUUUAUUUGUGUUAUCUGUUUCAGGUAAUAUGGCUGUAAAAUCCCUGUUUGUAUGUGGAAAGCAUAUCAUUGGACAAUGUUGUGGUAUUUCACCUUUCUGAUAGGUCCAUCCACAAACUAGCAGAGUUUUCAGGCAGCGACAAUUAACACCCCGGAGCAUUGGGCCGGCCAUGGAUGCGGAGAUGCUGCGACCAAGGCGACCACCAAGGUCUAACGUGGUGGCAGAAAAGCGGGUAAUGGCGGGAGCACGCCGAGACGAGGUCGGUGAGGGCGAGGGCAAGGACAGAGGUCGGUGAGGGCGAGGACCCAUGUUGGCGAGGGAGAGAACAUCUAUGCUGGUGUGAGAGGGUACUGGCAAACAACAUUUAGUUAACUCUUCGCGCCAAGGCCAGAUGAGAUCACCGUUGAGAUCAAGAUCAACAUCCAACAUUCAUCAGGGGGUUGUUUUUCAAAUCCACUUUAAACACAGACACUUUUCACCUGCUCUCUGGGUUGUUGUCAUUAGCAGAUGUCCUAUUUAGCUCGGAUCUAAGCCUUGUAAUCGCUUUCAUUGUUGUAUUUGAUUAAAUCCUAGCCGUUUGUUCCAGCUGGCAUCACUUCCUCUUGUAAGAUGACAUCUGAAUCUAAUAAGGGUAGCUGAAAGUAGUGACUAAAUUCGUGUGA
Lolium perenne is the source of this 1527-nucleotide long non-coding RNA. RefSeq lists it as uncharacterized. Lineage: Eukaryota; Viridiplantae; Streptophyta; Magnoliopsida; Poales; Poaceae. The record is from RefSeq and is a predicted model, not a curated record.